GCCACUUCCAGCUACGCUCUACAAAAGUACCAAGAACCCAUGGCUGGGUUGACCAACGCCAGCAGCUUCCCCUUCAAUCCAAUCCUAACCCCACCGACCGCCAAAACGACGUUGUCUCUACUUCCUCUCUCCUCACUUGAAUCCAAGUUCUUCGGCCUCCAAUUCCGUGGCUUCAAUAUCUGCAAGCCUGACUCUCUCAUCUCUCUUUCGUACGCCUUCCCCACCUCUGUAGUCACCGCCCGUUACGGUGGCUCCCGUUCUUAUGGCAUUUCCCGGCGGUCAAGGCAGAGUGAUUCCGACGAAGAGCAGGCUCUUGAUACAUCUAGCAUUAGGGCAUCUACUGUGAGGCUCAUUGAUGAACAACAAAAUAUGGUUGGAGUGGUGCCUAAAAGCGAGGCAAUUCAAAUGGCUGAAGAUGCUGAACUUGAUUUGGUGAUAUUAUCCCCAGAUGCAGACCCCCCAGUAGUCAGAAUAAUGGAUUACAACAAAUAUAGAUAUGAAUUGCAAAAGAAGAAGAGAGGACAGCUGAAGAAAAGUGCUGCAAAUCGCAUGGAUCUGAAGGAACUUAAAAUGGGGUGAGCACUAAUUUACCGUCAAUCUCAUUGAUGAUUCCUCAAUCUGUAUUUUUCUUUAAAAUUCUGAUUUUUGUUAGCCCACCGAUUGAUGCUGGCCAUUGAUUGCUACAAAACUUGACAUCCUCGUGAUGUAUAAUCUUUUCAAAUGGAUGUUUUCACAUUGAUCAGCAUUCUGUUAAAUAUCCAUCUGAAAACUGAUGCAUCAAAAUGACUGAAGGCCUGAAACUUUAUGAUAAAUCUGGGAAGGAAGUUAAAUUAUUGGAGGCAGGUAGGGUUGAUGCCUCCUAUUUGCUUUUAUCUCAAGUAACUUGCCCCUGUGCUAAUCUGAAAGGUAUAAUGGGAAAGAUAAAGACAAUUGUCAAUCAUUGACAUGUUUAUACAUAUGCCCUAUAUCAUUGGAGUUGUAAGGAGCUUAAUAUUGGAAAAAGUUUUGAGAAGGCAAGGUUAUCUAGAGUGGGUUCUUGGUUCUGCAAAUACUUAGGCUUCUGGGUACCACUUCAUCUCAAGGUAGUGGUUCUCUCUUUAAAUAUAAACGUCCUUCAUCUUCACCAGUUCUAAUUCUUAUUUUUUCUUAUUUGUCCUACCAUUGAUUCUUCCUGGGAGAGAUACCAUGGAUUCUUCAGGCAUGUACUGCUGGUGUGCUAAUGUUGGAAACAGGAUACAUGUAUUAACCUUGAAUUCAAAAUCAUUUUACAACAUUGAUCAACAUGAUUAUGAUGUACGUUUGAGAGCUGCUCGUAAGUUUUUAAAAGAUGGUGACAAGGUUAAGGUCAUAGUGAACUUGAAAGGUCGUGAAAAUGAUUUCAGAAAUAUUGCUAUUGAGCUUAUCAGACGUUUCCAGAAUGACGUUGGAGAGCUUGCAACUGAGGAAAGCAAGAACUUCAGAGAUAGGAAUAUAUUUAUUACUUUGGUGCCAAAUAAGGCUGUUCUACAGAAAACGCAGGAGUCACCAAAGAAAAGAGACAAGUCAGCUAUAAAUGAAGUGUCAGUUGGUGUAUGAAUGCUCUUGGAGGUUCAAGAAGGGAAUGGUUGGUAGGUACUCCAAAUUUUUGUCUGUUAAAUAGGUUUGGUAUUUGAGCUUAUGUGCAGCUUAGCAUAAUACAACAUGUAUAACAACAUGCUUACCACAUUUUUACAACAUAAGCAACUUGUCGUAGUUUUAAUAAUUCUGAGAUUGGACUUGAUUUGUUUAUUUGUUUUCGUAUGUUUCUAGUCUUCAGCCAGAUUAGGGUGCUUUAUAAUGUUAGGACUGAGAGCUUAUAGUAAAUUUAUGAAUGCUAUGAGGCUGCAAUUCCAAGAAUAGUGCUCUUUAUUCUCGACAGGUUGAUGUUACUAAAGGUCGAGUGUAUGAACUUGAGGAAAAAAUGCACAAAAAGGUCAGUCAUGCAUUGAAGGAGUUCUGUAAACCAAUAUGAGAAAAGUAUAAAGCUUCCUCCUGGGAUUGGCAUACAUGGAUUGGACCGACACAAUCAAUCAGCGUAUGGGAACCAUCAAAGCAGGAAAGUAAAUCUGAAAUGAGAAUCUUCCUUGCUUUAUGGUUAUUUUUCUGUAACUCGGAAGUUGAUGGAUUUAUAUACAUUUUCUUGAUUUGUGUCUGGUCAACGGGAAAUCCGGAGAGGAGAAGCUAUUAGGAGGCUGUAAAAGGAAUCAAUCUGUGUCUUUGAUUUUAAAAUAAGUUACUACUACUCAUUACCAAAAAUGAAAGAGAGAGAGAGAGAGAGGGAGAGGGAGAGAGAGAGAGAGAGAAAGAUUACAUCGCCCAUGAAUUUCUGGAGAUUCUUGGUAUUGUUGGCGAAAGUGUACAUAAGAAAGAUGGGAACGGUCACAUACACACCGAACUUGGCGAUCUCCAAAAUCCCCUUUGAUGUUCCCAGCGAUGACAUUUUCCCGAGAAAAAUCCUGCUUACCCAGAAUCUCACCAGGCA
This 2500-nucleotide unclassified non-coding RNA is filed under the name Hevea brasiliensis (rubber tree). Lineage: Eukaryota; Viridiplantae; Streptophyta; Magnoliopsida; Malpighiales; Euphorbiaceae. The record is from RNAcentral.